GCGCACACAGUAUACCAAUAGCCUUUUCUUGCCCUGUGUCACUGGUA
RNAcentral lists this ribosomal RNA (47 nucleotides) under Ochromonas sp. CCMP1393. The record is from RNAcentral. Lineage: Eukaryota; Chrysophyceae; Chromulinales; Chromulinaceae.